This 1245-nucleotide ribosomal RNA is filed under the name Triticum aestivum (bread wheat). RNAcentral's name for it is "partial small subunit ribosomal RNA". The record is from RNAcentral. Lineage: Eukaryota; Viridiplantae; Streptophyta; Magnoliopsida; Poales; Poaceae.
AUGAAUGAAUUUCUUAUUUCACCAUAUACGUGUGAUGAUCUACGGAAGGCUCUCUUCCAGAUAGGGGAUAUGAAAGCCCCGGGGCGAGAUGGUUUGCAUGCAAUAUUUUUCAAGCGUUUUUGGCAUAUCCUGGGAGAUGAAUUAACUAAUGAAGUUCUUGAAGCUAUUAGCCAGAGGAAAAUACCCUUUGGUUGGAACUCUACAAACAUAGUGUUGAUUUUGAAAGUUGACCCAAAGGCCAUUACACAGUAUAGACCCAUUAGCCUAUGUAGUGUGGUAUAUAAAAUUAUCUCAAAGAUGAUGGCUAACAGACUGAAGAGAAUUUUGCCAGAGAUUAUUUCCCCAACACAGAGCGCUUUUGUUCCAGGAAGGCUCAUCACAGACAAUGUGUUGGUGGCAUAUGAAUGUUUUCCUACUAUAAAGAAGAAAACCCAUGGUCUAGGGGCUUAUUGUGCUGUCAAACUAGAUAUGAACAAGGCCUAUGACAGGGUUGAAUGGAGUUUUCUGGAGAGAAUGAUGCGAAAAAUGAGUUUUCAUGAGCAGUGGGUCCAAAUGAUAAUGGAGUGUGUAUCUUCUGUCAACUAUAAGGUGAGAUUUAACAACACUGAGACAGAAGAAUUUUUUCCCACUAGAGGUUUACGGCAGGGCGAUCUAUUGUCCCUGUAACUCUUUUUGCUGUGUUCGGAAGGCUUGUCUAGUAUGCUAGCACAUGAGGAAGAGAUUGGGAACCUAGAAGGUAUCAAGGUAUGCAGGAGUGCACCUACUACUUCACAUCUCCUAUUUGCAUAUGGCUCAUUGAUACUAAUGAAGGCAAAUACACAAUGUGCUACUACCUUAAAGAAUAUACUGGACACAUAUUGCAACAGCUCAGGACAGUUGGUAAGUAAUGCCAAAUCAAGUAUUUUUUCCAGCCCUAAUACUCCGCUUGGUGUGCGGAAGGAGGUAUGCAGGGAAUUAGAUAUUUGUUACAGAAGCACUCUCAGACACUUAUUUGGGGGUGCCCACAAUGGUGGGUGUUGAGACUGUUUCUAGCAUCUUGUAGAUCGUGUCUGCCAACGUCUCAAGGGAUGGAAGGAGAAAAUUUUCUCUAUGCAAGGGAAGGAAAUUUUACUUAAAUCAAUUGCACAUGAUAUUCCUUCCUACGCUAUGUCAGUUUUUAAAUUACCCAAAGGAAUUUGCAAAGACAUUACAGAUGAAAUAUCAGGAUUUUGGUGGGGAGAUAGUGAGGAGAAGAAGAAGAUGCAC